GAUGAACGCUGGCGGCGUGCCUAAUACAUGCAAGUCGAGCGAACAGACGAGGAGCUUGCUCCUCUGACGUUAGCGGCGGACGGGUGAGUAACACGUGGAUAACCUACCUAUAAGACUGGGAUAACUUCGGGAAACCGGAGCUAAUACCGGAUAAUAUAUUGAACCGCAUGGUUCAAUAGUGAAAGACGGUUUUGCUGUCACUUAUAGAUGGAUCCGCGCCGCAUUAGCUAGUUGGUAAGGUAACGGCUUACCAAGGCAACGAUGCGUAGCCGACCUGAGAGGGUGAUCGCCCACACUGGAACUGAGACACGGUCCAGACGCCUACGGGAGGCAGCAGUAGGGAAUCUUCCGCAAUGGGCGAAAGCCUGACGGAGCAACGCCGCGUGAGUGAUGAAGGUCUUCGGAUCGUAAAACUCUGUUAUUAGGGAAGAACAAAUGUGUAAGUAACUAUGCACGUCUUGACGGUACCUAAUCAGAAAGCCACGGCUAACUACGUG
This 497-nucleotide ribosomal RNA is filed under the name uncultured bacterium. RNAcentral describes it as "partial 16S ribosomal RNA". It matches the Rfam family "Bacterial small subunit ribosomal RNA", at positions 28 to 507 of the family's 1533-position model. The record is from RNAcentral.